RNAcentral lists this ribosomal RNA (490 nucleotides) under uncultured bacterium. RNAcentral's name for it is "partial 16S ribosomal RNA". It matches the Rfam family "Bacterial small subunit ribosomal RNA", at positions 28 to 507 of the family's 1533-position model. The record is from RNAcentral.
GAUGAACGCUAGCUACAGGCUUAACACAUGCAAGUCGCGGGGCAGCAUGGGGGUUGCUUGCAAUCCCCGAUGGCGACCGGCGCACGGGUGAGUAACGCGUAUCCAACCUGCCCUUCACCACGGGAUAACCCGGCGAAAGUCGGACUAAUACCGUAUGUUGUCCAUUGACGGCAUCCGAUUUGGACGAAAGGUUUGGCGGUGAAGGAUGGGGAUGCGUCCGAUUAGCUGGACGGCGGGGUGACGGCCCACCGUGGCGACGAUCGGUAGGGGUUCUGAGAGGAAGGUCCCCCACACUGGAACUGAGACACGGACCAGACUCCUACGGGAGGCAGCAGUGAGGAAUAGUGGUCAAUGGGCGUAAGCCUGAACCAGCCAAGUAGCGUGCAGGAUGACGGCCCUAUGGGUUGUAAACUGCUUUUAUGCGGGGAUAAAGUGGCCCACGUGUGGGUUUUUGCAGGUACCGCAUGAAUAAGGACCGGCUAAUUCCGUG